GUGCCAGCAGCCGCGGUAAUACGGAGGAUGCAAGCGUUAUCCGGAAUUAUUGGGCGUAAAGUGUCCGCAGGUGGCUUUUCAAGUCUGCUGUCAAAGCCCGGAGCUUAACUCCGGCAAGGCGGUGGAAACUGAGAAGCUAGAGUGCAGUAGGGGUAGAGGGAAUUCCCGGUGUAGCGGUGAAAUGCGUAGAGUUCGGGAAGAACAUCGGUGGCGAAAGCGCUCUGCUGGACUGCAACUGACACUCACAGGACGAAAGCUAGGGGAGCGAAUGGGAUUAGAAACCCUAGUAGUCC
RNAcentral lists this ribosomal RNA (293 nucleotides) under uncultured bacterium. RNAcentral's name for it is "partial 16S ribosomal RNA". It matches the Rfam family "Bacterial small subunit ribosomal RNA", at positions 505 to 796 of the family's 1533-position model. The record is from RNAcentral.